GGGAAAUGUCACCCGGCGGGCGCGGUGCUGAGGGACGGAGCGAGGGGACGGAGGGACAGGGAGCGCCGCCGGCUGUCAAGGCUUAGCUGAUUAAAACUGCCCUGAGUGAAGUUUUCAAUGAGCACCGAAAGGAAUGGCAGCCAACGGCUUGGAGGUUUUCUUUUCUUUUUUUUUUUUUUUCUUUUUUUUUUUCUUUUUGCCCACGAAAGCAGCAUUUUGUGGUAGAAAUAGCAAUGAGAGCACUGAAAAAAAUACAUAAAAAAUACAGCGUUGCCGAUACCACUCGUCUGUAUUUAGAUUACGUAUCGUUCUGCCCUAAAGCAACUCUAGUUGCUAUUUUUCACCCAUUUUUUUUUCCCAACUAUGAUGCAGAAAUAAGACCUAGCAGAUAGGAUGUCAGCCUCUUUGCCAGGAUGUGGUAUUCUCUUAUACGAAUCACACUGUUGUCCUCUCGAAUGGCAUUUCUGAGGUCUCAUUAAGGAUUUCUAAAGGCAGUGAAGUUUCUGCACCGCCGCUAUCCCAUCCGUGCUUGCAGACACACACAGGCCCAAUCCUGCGUGUGGUUCUGUGCUUCGUUAUGGCCCUGUUCAGACCGAAGCUGGAAGUCGUAUUACACAAUCACUGCUCUCAGUAUUACUUAGGGCUGCACGAAGCGUAAACCCAAUGCAAUAGUCUCGGUUUGCAUCACCCACUUCGUUUCGCUGGGGUUUAAGCUAAAUAAUGCACAAUUGCCAUAAUUUUAGGAUCAGGGUGGUUAAAUAUUUGACGGCGAGGAAGGGCAGCCGCUCUCGUCUAACAGCCCCUGCAAUAGGAGGUGGGUAUUGCACUCUCUGGCUGCAGCAUCUGGGAGAGGAUUGUCAGCUUGUUUCCUCAGUGACUGGCAAAGCCAAGGAGUCACAGCAGGAGCACAGCUGAGGACAGAAGGCAGGGGAGAGGGAUUUUGAGCCUCAACAAAAGCGAUGUCAGUUCUUUAGAUCAGAUUUCCGUUCCAGAUAACGUGGGCUCAUCAGAACGGUGGAAGUCCUAUCUGCUGUGGCAGCUAAGAGAGGGUAGAGCUGCAGUUUCUGUGCUGCACUCCUUUCCUCGCACCUUUCCUCGCUGAAGCACUACCUGCACGCCGCCAAUCCCCCCACUGUAGGCACUUCUCCUCACAGACUGUCAUUACGUUCUCAGAGAAUCUUCCACUGCUGUAACAUGUGACAUGGCCAGCAUUUGUCAUGUUAUCUGCUCUCCUGUUGCCAGGGGGAGGAGCAUGUGCAGUUGAAUGUUUUGAGUUUUAUCUGCCUUUUUUGUUUUUUUUUUUUUUUUCUUCAAUAUAUGUGUUGUUUACAGUAGUGAGGCAAGGUCAAAGUCAUGUAUUUUGUUCUCCAAGCACUACGUGGUUGGUUGGGCUCCUGAUGGCCCUUAGCUCCUGGGCGUAUUCAUCCCAUAGACUUGUUCCAGCCCCUGAGAAAAGUGUAUCUGUAGAAAUGUUAGCUUUUUUCCCCUACUUGUGUAAAUUCCCUUGUGUCAGGUGAGAGAAACUGCCGACACGAGGCUGUAGUUUGGAGACCCAGGCAUUUCUUUGGGAAACCUGGAUUUAGGCCCCGGGAGGAUCUGGAGACCCCAAAUCUGUCAUUUAAAGUUCUAUAGAAAAUCAGUAUUAAGUGGAAGAGAGGGACUUGUAUUCACCUACCCCACUGAGAUGACAUUCCCCCCGGCUUCCUAUACUUGGGAGUUCCCUAUAUGGAACAAGAAUCACACUUGGGUAUCCCAAACGGCCGGGGUCUGUCUGCAAGGUGGCACAACCAAAGCAAGGUACUGAUCUCCCAGAAUGGCCCAGGAGCUCCCAGCUCGUCAGGGAUGGUUAGAAAGCUGGAGGCUGUCUUUUGACUCAGGCACGCAUUACUUUGCAAAUUACCUUGCUAUGUGUUUUUAAGAUUUAUUUUACAACCGUGAGGAUUAGAGGAAUUUGUCGUAAUGAAAACUGGCAUUGUGUCACUACUGUGUAACUGUGUAGCUGGAUUCUUUGGUCUGCCUGGGUACUUGCAUAUUAUUCCACUCUCUACUGGUCCAGCUCCUAAGUGAGUUACACCAAAUGGAGGCCAACAAGGUAUACCCAACGUGGAGCAAUUAUAAUAACGUGCACAUCUACAUAUUAUUUGGGUUCCCUGUUUUGGUAUGGCAUAUGUGUGCAUGGCCAGUGGAAAUUCCAACUUUUUUUUUUUUUUGUAUUUAUUUUUCUAAUUUAAGCUCUGCCUUGCUUUUGGUGCUUAUCCAGCCUUCUUUGCUGGAUCCCCGUUAGAGAUUCACCAAGGCCUCUCCUCAGACCUCUUCUGAAAGUUUGCUAUCAGUUGAAGUUUCUGCUUAAUAAUCUACUCUAAUAAUCAAGUGUAUUCAACAUCUCCUUUCAUUUUUGACUUUUCUGCUUCUUUCUGUGGCCAUUAAGUCUCCAAUUUAUCCUGACAAACAUAGGAUUUGGAAUUCAUUACUUAGGCCAUUUCAGGUUGUCACGUAGCAAGGACUGAAAUGUGCGCCGCUUAUUACUGUACAGUCAUUAGACUGCAGUGGCAGUGAAAACUAAGUUCUGAAUUUGCCAGCUGAGAGCUGAUCUAGGGAUCCUUCUCUUGGCACCAAGGACUGCAGGAAGUAUUUGCUAGAUUAGGAUGUACACCUGCUUUAUUAAAUUCCCUACAAAAUACUAAGUGGAAAAAAAAACCCCAAACCACCCAUAAACAACCUUUAGCCUAUUUUUGGUGUAGACUACCUGGUUUUUCAACAGCCAACUUUCAAUCUAUUUUUUUUUUUUUCCCCCAAUGUCUAAGAUGUUUAACACAGCAUAAAGGCAGCUGGUACAAUCCAAAGGCUGGGCUUAACUACGCUUUCCUUCAGUAUUGACUCUAAUACAGCCAUAGGCCUGACCCAUCAUGAACAUAUCCCUGAGGCCUCGGGAAAUACUUGCUAUUAAACUAAGGUUCUGUGGUGAAGUUUUGCUAAAACGGCCUCGCUGUAACUUCUAAACAUUGUAAAAAUUCUUCUGCAUGUUAGUGGUUGUGAAAUGUGCUGGUUCGUUAUCUGUGAAAACUGAAGCCCAUUCUUUAUGGAUUAAUUACAGCAGAGCAGUUGCCAAGUGAUCUUCUCCACAGCACCCACGAACUUUGGCCUUACACUGAAGAGGACUCGUCAAAUGGUGAGAAAAUAAGUGUGGUUGUUGGGGCUAUAAAUUAUUGAGGGGAUGCUCUAUUAUUUUUUCUUUCCUUUGUAUCAAUUCUGUUAUUUAACUGGUAUUAAAGUUAGAUUGUUUUUGGUAGGGUAACUGCUGGGGCCAGAGCCUAAUUUCUCACCUUCCCGCCCGCUAUUUUGCUCGUUGCUUUCUCAAGCUUUAUCAUCUCCUUAUCCAUCCUGGACUUUUCCAAACAAUUGUUAGCGAUACACUGAAUUUAUGAGCUAUUUUUUUAUUACUUGAUUUAGCCUUAGUCCUGUGCAUGUGCUCAGCUGUGUUCACAGGAGGAUUUCUAUCAGCACCACCAGUCAGCACAGCACAGCUCGGAUGUGAGGAAUUGUUGGAAAGGCUGAAACUCAGACUUUGCAAAUAUGUAUUUCUGCAUUUAAAUGAAAUGCUACUGAAAUUAAUACAGGAGUGAGAGGUCUGGAAAUGCUUUAGCUAGCACUAAUUUGUUUGCUUUUAUGCUGUUCAAUUCAUUUCUUUUAAGACAGCAUGAUGUAAAUUGUUCAUUUGCUUCUCUAGUUUCCCAGUUUCUGGGAAAUUUUGAAAUCUGAGCUUCAAAACGUUUAUAAAAUGUUAGUAAUGCUCAUGAUUCUCAUAAAAGGAACAAAACGUUAUUGUGUUUAACCAUUUUGUGAAAAGGGAACUGAAUCUGGAGAGGAACUAAUUCUAUCAGUAACUCACUGCCUUAGUCAGGUCUUUAACCUUGCUCUAGCUCCGUACCAACACGGAGUCAUGAUUUUUACACGUAUGGGAUUAUUAAGCACGCAUUUUAAAUAGAGAGAAUUUCCUUUUUUAUAGCUGUAGGUGAAGGGUGGGAUAUUAGUAGUGGGAGAGGACAUGAGAAUGUAGCUGUUAAGCACUGGUACUGGCUUCCUGGUAGUUUUGAGAGGUGACAGCUUAAAAUAACGGUGUAUACAAUGAUCCACAGUUUAGGAGGCAGAUCACAAUGACCAGAAGUUCACAGGAUGCCAAGAGAUGUCCCUGAACUUUGUUGGUUCACUGUUUUGAUUUCAGUGGCUCAAUUUAUGUUUUCCUUUAGCAACUGCACUGUAGAGUAAGGAGUAAAAGGGACAGAACCCCACUAGCAGCUUACGAUCUCCACAUUUCCUCCUCCCUUUAUGGCUGCUACCACAGAGAUUGGAAUAUUGGGUAUUAACCCUCACCCUGCUCUUUACCAAAGCAGGACUGGAAGCGCGGGUGUGUUUGUAAGGCAGAAGAAAUGGCGAGCCCUUUACACCAAUAACCGAGUGAUGCUCUGUGUUAAGGAUUACUGCGGUACUGUCAGCAAACACUGAACUAAUUUAACCUUUGUCUGAGUUAGUUACCAUUUUGCAUAUUUAAAAAUGAGAUUUGAUACUUAAGCCAAAAAGAAGCAGUGGUUUUCAGGCAGAGUGCACUGAGAUAUAACCCAGAGGUCAUUUAUUUUUAAUCCAGAUUUAAUUUUCAGUUUCUUUUUUCUUCCUCGGGCACUUUCUUUAGUUUUCUUUCUGAGACCCUCUCCCCCGAAUUAACUCGAAGCAUUUAAUCAUUUGCACUCUGCUUCACCAAACAAUUAAUCUCGUACCUAAGUCACGAUACUUGCACGAGUCCAGCUUGUGAGAGAGAAGUCUGAAUGCACGUUAGCCCCUCACGUUUUGUACUUGGGUUUGCCUGUCUGAGAACCAAUAGGCUGGAUCCAGCCCAAGUGUGAGUCAGCAUGUAAGCAGGGUAAGGAGUUGGGGCUCAGAUCUGUAUGCAAGCUUGGUAUUACAAACGGGGUGAAUGCUUUCAAGAUGAUUUACAUUUGUUUUUUAAAUUUAAGCACUUCAGUUGUUUAGCUGAGCGGAGUUUAGAUACUCCAUAUGCUUAAAGUUAAAUGCUUAAAGAUAAGUGGCUUAAAGGUUUUCUAAAAGCAUAUUUGGAAUUGAUGUAAUUCUUUCACUUCAAUAGAAGUUGGAUGGUUUUGAAAAUCCCGUUUUUAUUGCCCUGCUAAGAAAGUAACGUUGUUUCUUUUAUUCCAUCCCUUUUUUGCUAAGUCGUUUUCACUCCUGGUCCCGUUCACAUUGUUUCCUUCCAACCUGUCCUGUAAUGUCCAGUUCUCUAUUAACUUUGCCACGCUGACUAUUCUUUGUCUCUAGAGCAAUAGGAAGGGUAUGAAGAGCACAGUGGGUGGCAUUUUUCAAAAAGGGAACUGGGACUUGCUCGUUAUUAAAAAAUUAUUCUCUAAUAAUAAUGAUCUGAAGCCAGGUAGCAGUAGCAGGAUCUUAAGGUGAUUCUUUAAUAGCCAUUAUGCUUAUUCUCUAAAAAACAAAGCAGAAAAACCCACUGAACAGAUUGACUCUUUAAACUUAACGUCAGUCUUCUGUUACUAAGCUGUGUAUCACUGAACUUUUCUUAAGCUUUGGGAGAUACAACACAGAAUUGGAAGAGAAGCAUGGAUCUACCUGAAGGGCAGUUCGCUGCAUUCUUGGUAAGUUCAAAACACGUGUAUAAAAUUUUAUCUCUGUUAAAUUUUCACCUUUAUGAAUUGACAUCUAUUUAAGGUCCUUUGCACAGGGACAGAACAAAGGCAGUUUCAUGGAAAUGGUCUCUAUUCUCUGGAUUCUUUUACGCUCUCACCCUGUAAAAACCUGUGUUGUGUUAUAGCUGAGUUUGUGGUGUGACUCCUGAAUGAAAACAGUAAAUGACAUGAAAUUCAGUUACUUUCACAGUGAUUAUACAACUGUGUUUUCAUGCCCACUUUCUGAAUAAAACAAGAUAUAUAGGAAUGAGUUUUCUCCUAGUAACUUCUGAAUCCACUGCUUCAUUUGAGCUGCAUUUGAUACAGAGAUAGAGGUCGCAAGGUCAAGUUUCUACAGUUUCAAUGAAACCUGGCAGAUGAGAUUAGAAAAAUGACUCGAAUUUGUGCCUCCAGGACAGAAAAAGCUUCAGCAUGGACUUGGAAGUUUUCUAUUCCAUUCAACCUGCUGCCUUGCAGAUUAGCAUCCUUGGUUGGUCUGAUGGUCACAAUGUGAGUUGCUCCCAGUAGUGAGAAGGUGGUGUUUUGUGAAGGAAUUUAGGGAAAUUAUUUAGAAGGGAGUGGGAAUCCAGCCAGGGUAACGUCAGCCUGGGAUUGCUGCACAAGUAUUUUGGGGCAUGUGCAAGCACAUUAGUAAAUAACUAGACUUUGUAACUUUGCUGGUCAUGAAAAAAACCCUUGUUUUUGCAAGAGCCUUCCAGUCUCCCAAACCAAUCAUGUACCCUUCAACUUUAUGGUGGUCUAUACCUACGUUAGAUGCAUGUUUUUCCUAUCCUUGUCAGAGAAGGGAAUUGUUGAGGCAGUUUCGCUAUUUCAUUUCUUUGAUGGCUUGAAUGUCAGCUCUGAGAUAUUCCAUAGGCUGUCACAUUUGUAACAGUGUGUUUUCCGCUCUUCUCAGAAACUGACUGUCAUUUGGACUGCAGCUAUGUGUCCCUGACCUCUCCUCCAGUCUGCACUCUCGGAGCAGUGCAUUGUAUUCCAGUUAACUUCCUUAUUGGAGAAAGAUGUGGAGCUAGGCAGAGGGGCAGAAAGCAGUAUUAGGAUCUGGCUGCAUAAGUUACCACGUUGCAUUGCAUCUUUGAUAAUGCCAUAUUUCCCUAGCUUUAUGGUCUUGGGCUCCUAGAGAACUGACUGUCCCAAAAAGUAUAGUCUGCUCAUUCUCAGUCAGUAAGAAAUGGGUACAUUAUACUUGCCAGAGGUACUGGUUCACUCAGGUAGGCUCAGGUGCUGGUUCACACUUGCAGGCUAAUGUGACUGGUAGGUCUGAUAUUUUUAAAUUUUCUGUGUAACAGUAGAUGGGAGAAGCAUUCAAGGCCAGACUGGAUGGGGCUUUGAGCAACCUGGUCUAGAGGGAGGUGUCCCUGCCUAGAGCAAGGGGUUGGAACUAGGUGACCUUAAAGGUCCCUUCCAACACAAACCAUUCUAUGAUUCAAUAAUUCUAUAUCUUAAGACACUUUUUGAACAGAACUUACAGCUGGAGCACCGAUCUUGAGAAAGAGGAGUUGAAUUUGUCAUUAUAAGUCAUGUAUAUAAACCAAAAGUUUUAAAGGGAAUAAAAGGCGAAGAAACACUUCAAAUUCAGUAACUUCUAAGACAACUGCCUUGAAAUUUGUUGUAAUGUCUGAAAUGUGGAUUUCAAAUUUUUGCUUGUCCUCCUGCCCAGUUGAAAGCUUUAAGCCUGGCAAGGAACAAAAAACUGUGGUGCUCUUCUCCAUUUUCUGUUUGUUUACAAGUCUGUUGUUUGACAAAAUCACAGCCAGUAAGAGAACAACUUGUUGCUCAAAAAUAAAACCAAAAGUAGAGAAUUAAAAAAGACUGCAUUCCAUCCUUAUGGAACUCCUGAUUCUUCUGUUAGAUUGUCAGAUCCUUUAAUUUGUUCGUAGCUUUUGCUUGUUUGUUUUAAAUAUUGUUGUUUCUUUAAUGGUAUCUAAAUUAAAGGAAUAAAGAAAUGUCUUCUGCAUGUUUCUAGGAUCUAGUUCUUAUAUCCUUUAUCAUCAGUGCUCUUGCACAGUGUCACCAGUUAAAUAUUAUUUCAUGGAACCCAUGGUUAAUGUGUUUGUAAAUGUUUUAUGAUAUAGAAAAGCGUUGUAACUGAAAAUAAAAUGCCUUUUAAAGAUCAACAUAGAUGUAUUUUUAAUAAGAACAGUGAGGUCAAAUCAUAAAUGUUAAGUUUUGUGUGAAUGGCAAAGAGGUGGUAUAUAUUUGUUUAACAUUACAUUUGUACUUCCUGCAUUCUAAAUAGUUUUCUGGAGGAGCUUAAAUUUAGGAAAUGAUUGCAGUUGAUUUUUGUAAGGAUUUUUUGUUUAAAAAAGAUCACUUUUAGUCUAAAAUUGACUACUGUUUAUCAUGUGUUUUCAAAUACUUUAGUCUUCGAUGCUGCUGUAUGUGGCCAGAUGCUUUCAUAGAAUCACAGAAUGGCCUGGGUUGAAAAGGACCACAAUGGUCAUCUAGUUUCAACCCCCCUGCUAUGUGCAGGGUCACCAACCACCAGACCAGGCUGCCCCGAGCCACAUCCAGCCUGGCCUUGAAUGCCUCCAGGGAUGGGGCAUCCACAACCUCCUUGGGCAGCCUGUUCCAGUGCGUCACCACCCUCUGUGCGAAAAACUUUCUCCUAAUAUCUAACCUAAACCUCCCCUGUCUCAGUUUAAAACCAUUCCCCCUUGUCCUAGAACUAUCCACCCUUGUAAACAGCCAUUCCUCCUCCUGUUUAUAUGCUCCCAUCAGGUAUUGGAAGGCCACAGUGAGGUCUCCCCGGAGCCUUCUCCAAGCUAAACAAUCCCAGUUCCCUCAACCUUUUCUCAUAGGAGAGGUGCUCCAGCCCUCUGAUCAUCUUAGUGGCCCUCCUCUGGACCUGCUCCAAGAGCUCCAUGUCCCUCCUGUGCUCGGGGAUCGUGAUCAUAAAGACCUCAGAAAUUCACUGACCUAUGCUGUCUCUCCAAACUUUAUGCUGAUUUGAAGCAGACUUAAACACUAAGAAGCAACUAUGAUAAUGGCUUUUUAUAAAGUAAUAAUUAAAAAUACAUCUAAAUUUCUACUUCAAAUGCAUAUUGGUAAAAGUUCCCAUAACGUGCUGCUGUUACAUGUAAGGCCUGUAAGCAAUUUGAAGUCAACAUUCUGUAAAAAAAGGAACUAAGAAUUCCUAUAAAUAACGUGCAACUUAAAGAUGUAUGGAACUCCUUUAUUAUGUGCUAAACGCUGUAAUAAAAUGGGCUAUCAGAGGGUUUUGCUGCAUGUUACUAAUUUUAAUUUCUUUUUUUUUAUCCCAAUAUUUUUGCAGGUGUGUGGAGGAACGGGUCCCGUGCUCACUGUUGUUACUCCCACAUAGGCGGACUCUGUAACUGAUUAUAUGUGGGUAGGGCCCUAUUGAAAUUAAGGAGAUUCUGCAGUAGUGCGGGGUUCUGUUUGUGUGACCCUACUGUGCCUUCUUACUGUGAAUUCUGUCAGUGUAUCAUGGGUUGUGCUGGAACCUGCCUUUUGGGAUAAUGUAAGUUCUGCCUUUCCCCCAAAUGUACUUUAGACGUGAAAUAAUCAUUAAAAAAAAAGUUUUGAAUUAGAAAAUAAAUAUAAUUUACAUGCGUUCUUUUAAUUAUGUUUUUUUGGCAGUACCAAAUAAUAUAUUCCUCAAAACUUCUUAAUGGCACUGAGGCUUUGUGGAUAGUUGGUCACAUGAUGAGAAAAUUCAGCUGUAAGUACACUGAAAUGAUUGAAUUUUUCAAUAGUUAGUCUUUGCUGAUGUUGACAGACUAAUAAUGAUAAAAGGGUUAAUCAAGAGGUGUGAUUUAUGUGUGACUCCGGUUCUUUUUAGAAAAUCCAUACAAUAUAUCCAUUAAGGAUAUCAUUAUUCUUGGAUAAUUCACCACGUGAACCCGGAGUCCUUCAGCACUGCUGUUAGGUAGGGAGUUUUCAUUUGUUUAUUUCCUUUGCUUUCAGAAGAGUGUGUUUCUGAGCUGCUCUCUAUCUUCACCCAUAAAAUUUUCCAAAUUUAUAGAUCUAUAAAAACCGUUUAUGCCUCCAAUAUUUGUGUAGCUACUGCAAGCAGAUUUACUAACAUAAUUGUCUUGCUGAGUUGAACGUUGAAAUGUUAAUAAAUAUAUACUUAUGCUCAUGUCAAAGUAACUUGGUUAAAUUAAACUAAACUGAUCUGACGUUAUGAGUGGCAAUUUGAUCACACAUGCUGAUUAAUUAUAGGCUUCUUAGGCAAGAACUGUAUAUUUUAUUUUAACUAAGUACCCUGUGCUUAAUCGGUAAUAAUUAUCCAUACCCUUUGUCAGUGGAUUCACCCAAAAUAACUAUAAAUAUACUUGUAUUGAAGAGGAAGUUUUUUGCUUGUAUCUAUGGGUACAGGCAUUGCUAUGAUUCCUAUUUUUAUAUCCAAGAGAGCAAAAAUUAUGUGUAGGUGUUUUACCUGUGUAACGCUAAUGGCUUUAUAAACUCCAUGCCCUUUUUUUUAUGAUGGUGUAUUUCCUUUCUGGUGUUCAAGUACAAAAAUGUUCUGAAGGCAAUCUUGUAUCUGGAAGAUGGAAGAACUAGAAUUGGUAUUGAAUCUGUGAGUAAUUAUUAAGGAAGUGUGAAGCUGUAGAGGAUUUGUAGGCAUGGCCAAUUAGAUAUUCCUUCAUGUAGAGCAAAGAUGCAGACAGUGAUUGGGGAGUAAAGAAAAAGAGAUUGUAGAAUUAUUUUUUUGCUUGGCACAAAAGUAACAUUAAAUGAAUUUGAAGAAAGAGCAAGACCAAAGAAGAGAUCAUAACCAGAUCAAAAGCAGACUUGAGAGUCCAAUUAACAAACAAAUGAACAAACAAACAAAAUAAAACUCAAAAAGAAACAAGGAACUAAACAGAAGAAUAUAUGGCAAAAAUAUGCCCAGAAGGAGAACUGAAUGUGUAGCUACUGGUACCUUUCAUUUCAUCAAAUAUCUGGUUGAUUUACCUAUCUAUUUAAUUUAAAACUUCCAGGAAAUGUCUUUCUCUACAGUUCUCUGCAGUUUUUUUGGAGGGGUCGUGUGGGCUUUGGAGAGUUAGUGACUGUGAAUUACCUGUAUAAACAGAGUAUUUGAGAUGACAACUGCAACUAAGAACAGAGGUCGAUGGUCUACAUAUGCUAAAAUGUGGCUAGUGCUAAGCAGAAGAAAGAGCUUCUUGUUCAAACUCAUAACUUAACUAUUUUAAAUUUGAACAUCUCAAAGAGAGCUCAAAACCCAACGGGAUUAUUUUGGUUACGGGAUGUUACGGUGCUUCUUUUAUAAUUUCUGAACACAAAAAUGAAAUGGAGUUAUUUUUUAAUAUGAGAUGAAACCAUAGUUUGAGAACAUUGAAUGUUUCUCCUGAAUAAUGAGAACACUGAAUAUUUCACUUUGCAUCUAAAAUCUUGAAUGAUAUUUUUUUUGUUUGUUUGUUUAAAAAGCACAGUUCUAAUAGUUGACUAUUUUCAUCUUUUAGUUCUAUAUGCCAUAUUUAUUCUUACUUCCCCUAAGUUGUGCAAAGGAAAGAAAAGGAGAGAGAGAUCAGGUGAUUGCACAGCAACCAAACCCAGCCUCCUAUGUUCCCUCUCCACACCAGAUUGAAAAAAAAAAGUGCCUCAGAAAAGAUCUGGUUUCAGAAGAGAUAAAGAAGCAAGGUGAUAUAUUAGUCAGUGGGGUAUGAGGAGGCCCCUGGAUGUUUCAUAUGUCUCCAAGUUUUUCAGUCAUCUCUACGGAGGGCAGCUCAUACACAUCUGACUGCAUCUCCUUCCUGAGAGAGCAACUUCCCUGUGCUUUGAGAGAAAGAAUGUAGGGGCACAGCUCUAUUCUGCCUGAGGUAAUGCUGCUACAAAACACUGUUUGGAAGAAAAGGAACUCUGAAUUGUCUCCUGCUGUAUGUCUCCAGUACUCACGGCUGCUAACCCGUGUGGUUGAGCACCUGAUCUGCUUGUUCCUUUAGUUCAACCCAUUCUGUGCUGUUGUAAAUGACUAAAACUAGGAAACAGCAAGAAAGCAGACACGAAGAGAUCUUGUUGAUGUUUGUGGAAUUUAGGGUGUGGGCAUUUGCUACAUGGGCACACUUUAUGUAGGUUUGGGAAUACUUCAAGGGCUGGAAAUACCAAACUAGAGCAAAGGAGAGUAAUUUUCCUUCAGUGGCAAGCUGAAAUGAUAGCCUUGGUUCUGUACAAUAAGGAGGAAGAGGAAAGGAAUGUGCCUGAAUGUUCAGCAUGUUAGUUGUUUUAACUUUAAGCUGUAAGAUCUUUUUCUCCACUGCUGUUUGCGCUUGGCUUGUAUCACCAAUGUCCUGUCUUUGAGCUGGAUGUAGCAUGUUUUUGUUUGCUGAAUGAGGCACCCAUCAAAUUACAGUGUCAUGAACAUUCUUCUUCUUCAGUCCUUGAAAGUCAAAACAUGGUAGCUCAGGUAGCUGUAAUAACCCAGUAAUAAAUGUGGCGUGAAAGAAUUUUCUUAUUUCAUAGUACAGGAAGAACAGUGUUUUAUGUGUCACUUCAUAUACCUCCUCCCAUCUUCUUUUCUACUCCUAAGCAGAUCUAAUGCAUGAAAAUUUUCUUCAGCGUUGUCCUCAGUUCUUUAUUUCCAGUUACAACUUUUGUUAGCAAUUUUUUCAUAUUUUUGGUUGGGGUCCUCACAAAACCUCUCUGCAUCCUCGGUGAAUGACACCAUCAUGCUGUUGUUUGCUUUAAGUCAUCAAACCUAGGCUAAAUCUUAGUUUUUGGAAAUCUUUUUCCAAUCCUUCAGGGAUGCUCUUUCUUCUCUGUUGGUUGCUUGUAUUUUUCAUCCAGGUUUUCCAUGGAUCAUAUCGUUAUUAGAAAAUCUUCUUCUUUUGCCUUGACAAAUGUAGUCUUGUCAUUAUGCGUUCCAAGUGCUGCUGUAAAUAUCAGUUUCCAGAUUUACUCCUUUGGCUUUUUAAACUUCCUCCUUCAAUUGAAAGCAAUAAAGAUAAGCUAUCUGUCUUUGUUUUCAAGGCCCAUCAAGACUACUUCUACCUGAUACCUUUCCUUCAGUAUCAAGAGGUUGACUCUGAUUUUGAUCAACAUAUGAUGCCAGCUUCCAUCAUUCAGUUGUUAUAUUUUCACACUGGAUACUUUCUCCUCAGCUGCCUCUCGUGUAGUAGCUGACUCCUUCAUAAACAGAACUGUUUGCUGUCUCCCUUUAAUAUCUUCUUAAAAGUUUUAUGUACUGUGAAGCUUAUGACAAUCCAACUAGAAAAUAAGUAUGUUGUACAAGUAUACUAAUACCGAUGCUUGUCACAGUAAUACUUUGUCAUUGCCUUUGUACUCUGCAGUAAUCUCUGUUGUCUCUUCACGUAGAAUUCAUGUGGACUUUUUGUUGUAUGCUUAUUCAUGGCCCAGCAUAACGAGAAGUGGUCCAGGGUGUAGCCUUCUAGGAUUUGUGGUAAUGCAAAUAAAUAAUAAUGAACACUUGUUGGAUACUGCAGUGUAGCCUCUGGAUUCUGCUGAGCCCUGACUCGCAUCAUACUUAAUGCAGAAAUAAGGUGCUCACAAAAAUAGGGGCCUCACAAAAGGGAAAGAAGUGAGUUUCAGCCAACACAGAAAAUGCUAGCACCCCAGAAGUCUUCUCAGCUGUCGAACCCAAGUCAAUAGCUACUGGCAUUGUGUCCAGAAAGCACCCCUCUUUAUCUUCUCCACAGCAGUAACAGCAGACUCUCCCUCCUCAGAGGAAGUUAAUGUGAGUAUUACGAAUCCUCAGUGUAUACAAGAGAUUAAAGGACUUCAUAUACUUCCAUAGUGUCAUUCUGCUACUUAGUGCCUUCCCUUCCUGACACAGCAUCUCUUGGUACAGAAAUCUUGAAUAACCACAGGCCAUUCUGUUGGUCAGUCCUUGUCAAAUACCACUUGGUUCUCUGUUGAGAAGGAACCUGCACUAGUUUUGAUUCGGUAUCAAGGUACGUUGCUACCUGAUACUGCUCUGUUUCCCUGGUACCUUGAAGAUAAUGAUUCUUCAGAAGAGUGGUAAGCGUGAAUUGCAACAGGAAUUCCUCAGGUAUGUCGUUCUCUUUCUGGAAGUGGGUCUGCAUGUGUCCCUUUUCCUUCUUUCAAAGUGACACCAAAAUAUCAGCAUUUAGAUGAUAACAGAGAUGAUGAAAUGUUAGUGCCUUGCUGAUAGAGAAAUGAUAGAUUGGUCUGUUGGUCUCUAUAUGCUAACUAGUCAAAUAAGUUAAAUUUAUCAGACUAAACCACAAAAUAUAAUUACAAGUGGUUCCAUAUCUGAGCAGGAGAAGCCUGGCAAGAGCUCUGAAUGAGCUGAUAGAGUGGACACAGUGACCGUGAAAUACAGCAGGAGGCCAGAGAGGCUAUACAAUUGAGAAGCUCGAUAGUAACAAGAGUUUUCAGUUUUCAAACUAUGGUCUGGAUAAGCUUAACAUUAGGGCAUCAUGCAUAAGCUGUGUUUUUAACUACCAUCAAGAACUAACUUUUGAGCAAACUAUCCAGAGAAUCCAGUAGAACGAGGACAGCUCUUGAGUUCGUUUAGAUUAGUAACCAGGAUUUGGUUGACAAAGUAACUAUAGGAAAGACAUUUGGUAGUGGUACAUCAUAUCAAACUGAAGUUUGUCGUAUUUGCAUGAGAGAAAAAGAUAAAAAUAAAUAAACAAUCCAGUAUUGUUUAACUGUAAAAAAGAACUGCAUACAAAUGAAGAAAUCGUUCAAGUAAAAAUUGUAAGAGGCUAAGAGAGACACAGAGUGUUUGUUUUCUAAUUCUGACCCAAGUGAAUAAGAAUUCAUGACAACUGAGCAGUAAGGGAAGUUACGAGGAACAAAUAGAUGUUUUUCAAAAAGUGAAAUCCAAACAAGCAAAGAGGAGAAGAGCACAGUUCUGGGAAGUUAAAUGUAGACCUAUUCUAAGGAGGGACAAAAAGAUUUUGAGGAGCAAUAGGCUAAAAUCAUAAAAGCAAAAAGAAAAAUCUAUAAGUGUAAACUUUUCAGUUAAUUCUGCUAGCAGGACACCGAGUUCCAGAGACAGAAUAUUUAAAGGCAAAGCCACUGCAGAAGGAAACAUAUGGACAAACCCUUACAUUGGCAGAGUUCAUUCCAGGGACAUUAGGAACAGUCCCAUAUAAAAGUUGUUCUUUAUAAGAAGUAUUUCAAUUUUUAAAUAUCAGUAAAAGAUUUUUGAACAACUUGAUUAAAUGGGCAUUAGCAGAUUGCCAGAUAGCACGAUGUUCUUUCGGUAGUUGCAGAGAAAUUCAGAAAUAAAACUGGUUAUCUGUGAACUGUGUUGUAUUAUCUAUCAUUUAAAUUGGUGUUGAUGACAGAGGAAUGGAAAGCAGCAAAUGUGACCAUGUUAAAAAGGUCUCUAGGGACGAUCGUGGACUAAUGUACUAAUAAGUCUGACUUCCAUGGCAGGCAAAAUGCCAGUGAAUGUGAUAAAGAAUAUAAUUAAUAGGAACACGUGUGGCUGUAAUAGGCAACCAUCACCUUGACUUUCUGUACAGGGUAGUUUUGUCUUACGGCUUCGCUUAUUGUUUGAAGCAGUAAACAGACACAUGGGAAUGGGUCACCCAAAAAGCUUUUAAAAAGGUCUAUCACCAAAGAAUGUUAACACAGUGAAGUGUUGAGAUACGUAAGAUUCCUUGUGGAUUAAUAAACGGUUACAAGAUAAAGAAGACUAUAGCAACUAGUAGGUGGCUUUAAUGACACCACCUCCCAGCAAUUUGUACUGGCACCUUUUCUGGUUCACCUGUUCCUAAAUGGUAUGAAAAGGUGCAGUGAUAAUGCUUAGAGACAAUAAAAGGCUACUGUGCAUUUGGAGUCAGAGCUGACGUUGGCCCUGAAGAGUUGCAGAAGGAUCUCACAGCACAGGCUGUGGUGCUGCAGGAGCCACGGCUGUCCCAGAGGCCAGGUAUGACUGACCCACUGUUAAACCAGACCUGUCAGCAGAGAGGGUCAUUACCUCAUCAUCUGUCAGCUCUGCAGGCUGCAGCCAGGCCUGCUGCUCAGAAAGGCAUGGACUUGCAGCUGUUCUAACAGGAGCUGCAACUUGGAAGUUCUACUUCCCUAUUUCUUAGGGUUUCACAGCCUUAGGUGAGCUUGAAAUACAGACUUUGAUCCUGGCAUUCCUGCCUGUCACAGAGGUGAAGUUUAAUUGUUAAGCUGAUGGCUGCUGUCUGGCUGCUGUGAAAAGCCUGGGUUCUCAAGCCUUUUCCUAAUGCUUGUGUGGAUUUUUAGCAGCUCUUGCUGAUUUCUUGAAAUCAUUCCGGAUGGAUUUGAUGCAAUAUGGUACUUGAAACAAAGGAGUCAUGCUGGCAUACCAGUCAGUUUUGAGCACUGAUGAGAAUUAUAUAAAAAACAGACACGGAUGAUGAAGAUAUGGCACAGCUAUUGGGCAGGGACAGUAACUGAAUCAGGAUUCUUCAUUUUGGAAAAAUGCUGGCUGAGGAGUAAUAACAUGAGAAAGAUCUCUAAAACCACGAAUAUGUGGAAGCAUUUAAUAGGAGACUCUAACUCUUUAUUUCUUAGAAUAGAAUAACAAGGAGCCCUUGGUCACUGUUUUCUGUAUCUUAGGUGACCUUUAUGAUAGCAGAAGAUACCAGUUUCAUCUGCCAUAGUUCUGUGGCACAAAACUGCACAUCUGUUUGUCCUGGACCAGCCGUGGCCAAAACCCAACCUGUGUAGAAUUACAGCUUUUCUGUAAAUAAAAGCUCGUAGGCCUUGUUGUCUGAUGAUAAAUUUUCAAAUAUGAAUCAAAUGUAAAUUGGUCCCUUUUUCCUAAACCUGAAAGAUAUACAUAUAUUUAUUGAUAUCUAAACUAUGCUUCUGUCUAUUCCUUUGUCUGGCAGUAGUAAUGUUAUGGUCAUAUUGGCCUUACUUCUCCUGUUUACAAAUGUAUGGGCGAAGGAGAAUGCCAGUUUGCUGCUACUUCAGAAAGCCAGAAGCAAAUAGCAGGUCCUAAAAUCAGUCUCAGGGGAAAUCAGAUAGAGGAGCAGUAACGUUUAACACAGCAACCGGAAGGUCAGGAGGGAGGGAGGGAGCAGGGAACAUCAUCGUAUUUCUGACGUGGCAGGAAUGGUUUUCAAGCCGUGGUCCACUAAGCCCUAAUGGGCUACAGGACUAUGGUAAGUUGAACAGCCGUUGGGCUAAACCAUAUCUAAUGGUGCUUUAAAUAGCACCUUCAAUUAAAAGUUUAAUCAGGUGGGAGUGUGCUGUUUUGUGAAAAAUGUUAAGGGCUGACAGCAAUCUAUUGCUCCAGAAAUUUGGGCUCUGCUCUUCUGCUGUGUAUGAAAAGGCAGAGAGCACUGCCUGCUUUUUCAACAUUAGAUAGGCCACAUGCCUCUGCAGGAGAAGCAUAGAAUCAUAGAAUCAUAGAAUUGCCAAGGUUGGAAAAGACCCAGAGGAUCAUCCAGUCCAACCAUCCGCCCUUCACCAAUGGUUCUCGCUAAACCAUGUCCCUCAACACAACAUCCAAACGCUCUUUGAACACCACCAGGCUCGGUGACUCCACCACCUCUCUGGGCAGCCCAUUCCAGUGCCUGACCACCCUUUCAGAGAAGUAGUAUUUCCUAACGUCCAGCCUGAAGCAGCAGCAAGAGAUUCCCAGAGGGAGCCAGGAAGAUCAAGCUGGUAGCAGCAACCCUUCUGUCCCCACCACGUCCUUCCCAGGAUCUAGUAACAGAACGGCUGCUUUUUUAAUUGUUGCCUUGUCCUGAGCACCGCUAAUAGUCUUUGCUCCUCUUCCUUUCCAUCUGCGCUCAUGAAUAGUGGAUUUAGUGGCCUGAGAAGUGAGGAUUGGGUCCCCAUAGCACAAAGAUUAGACUUCUCAUCUUAAUCAAAUGAACACAUAUGUACAUCUUUGAAUGCUUAUCUGACUUUCUAGCAACAUUAGCAGAUGCAGACUUUUCUUACGAGUAUUAGCCUGUCUUAGCACAGGAUGAGUUUAUUACUCUAAAAAAAUCCACUCCUAUUUGACCACGCUCUUUAGUUUACAUAAGCUCCCCGGAUGGUAAUUUUACAUUGUAAAAACCUUCCUUUUCCUCCUAUCAAGCCUCCUAUUAUUAUUAUUAAUAUCAUCCAUACUGACAAUUUUCCAGAAUCGUAAUGUAUUUGUAUUAGCUAUGCUUUCAGUUGCCCCAGCGUAGGUUACUUUCUGUUGUCAUAAAUACCACACAAGCACAUCCAUAAAUAAUUUGCAGACAUUAUAUCUUUUCCAACAUACUGCACAGCUUUUUAGCAGUCACGGUGGUGCUGAAGUGGAGAAAUGCCAAACUAUAAACCUCAUUCAAAUGGUAUAAAUGUGUUUAUCCUGAAGAAGUCUAUUGUCUUACCUAAAGUUAGAUUGUAGCAUACGUAUUAUAUGAAAGGUAAGCAAAAUACUACUGGCAACAGCAGUUACAGUAACGGUGUUCUAAGGGAAUUAAAGUAGGCCAGCAUGCUCUGUGUAACCCUUUUUUUGUCGCACCUCUCUUAUUCCUGUUUUUUUGAUACAUAUAGGAAAUGAGUUUUGUGAAUGCUUUUAUAUUAUUGUUAUUAUAUUAUUAUUACUAAAUGCCCCUUGCUAACUGAUAGGAUUCUGCAGUCACUUUUCAGUGUUCUAAUAUGUACAGUGCGUAUGGUUGGUUUGUCUUGUUCACAUGCACAGGGCUAAGCUGGGUAUGAGGUCAGGAGGAAAUCUUUGCCUUGUAUCAGAAAGAAAUAUACAAGGGAGGAGAGUGCUUUUCUAGCACUGUAGUGUGGAAAAAAACCUAUUUACCAGUGUCAUCUGGGGGUGAUAGGAGAGAGGGAUUAAUAUGCUUAUAAGCAAGGCAUGUGGGUAUAGAAGCAGUGAUGGAGUAUAUGGGUAGAACUGAAGAUCAGUGUAUGGGAGUAAAGAUUUAGGGGCAGAGGUCAGAACAGGAUUCCUGUAGGAGCUGGAGAGGUCACAGCUGGAUAAAUGCAUUGGGGUCAGCUGGAAGUCAGUACCCCAAACGUGGCUAUAGCUCUGCCACAUCCUCACUGCACACUUUCCCUGUCUGUUCUCUCCUGUGUCUUCUGGAAUCCCAGCUUCUUGUCUGAUUGUGAACUGGAAACCUUACUUUCCUGCUUACUCCAGAAACAAGGAUACACACACAAGUACAGAAGGCCCCUCAAACCCCUCCCAUUGGAAGCCUCUCUUCUUACUGUUCUUUCUAUGGGAUUCUGCAAUGUAGGUACAGCCAGGUGAGAAGUGGGCGCUGGGAGCAAAAUAAUGCCUCUGCUUCGCCUCUUCGUUUGCAUCUUCUCCAAGUGGGAUGUAUCCCAUCAUUAGAAAUCUGCUCGUCAAAGAGGAGUUCUUUCAUUCUUUUUCCCCCCUAUUCGUUAGAAUGUGACAGGUUUUUUUUUCUAUGUGGUGAAAUACAGUUUUUUGAUAAUGUUUGUCUUACCAAGAAGCACAACAGUUCGGGAUUUCUAGAGCCUAAUCUCUUCUAAUUCACAAUUCUUUGUGAUCCAGGACCUUCUUAAAAAGAAAGAAAUCCAGUGGGUGAGUGCAGCUACUGCUGAUACUGUCAGCCUUCUGAUAGUGUGCCUCGUUUUUUCAAUUACUAUUUUGCAGCCCACUUAAAAAUUGUUCAUAAAACCUCAAGAGUCUGCAGAUUGAGAGCCACUUUCUAAGGGGGUAUCUUUAAAUGGACGUUACUGUGUUGGUGGGGUUUUUUAAUUCAGGUGUUGGGUCUUUUUCUUCUAUCCCAUCUGUGAAACACCAAGUGUUGAUAACCAUCUGUGAAACAACAUUUGAUGUAAUGGCUACGACACUGCUUUAGAAAGCUCGUGAAAUAGAUUGCCUGCUUAGAAGAGCUGGCAUCUAAAAAUGUAUGUCAUGGACACAGGUAAUAAAUGUUGCUUGGGAGCUGUUACAGGGGAAAAAGAACUUAAUUUGUGUACGAUAUACUGGUCUUAACUUCUUAGCUUUUUAAGAUGUCUUUCUAAGUAUCCUGCUGUAUGCUCGUAAAGUAUUUAAAGAUACGAGUCAUUGCAUUUGCUGAAGUAUUCAGUGCAUCAUUUAAAAUGACUACCAAAGGAGAGAGGUGGAUUCACUUCACAUAACAGCUAAGCAUAAAAAUAAUGAUUCAGAAAUAAUCGUGUGGUUCCAGAUCAGUAAAAAUCAUUUUGUUUUUCUGUACAAGCAGAGCUCUGCACAGAACGGUGAUCUCAUUCUACCUUAUCAGAUUACAGUUCCCUACACAGAUUUUCAGUACUAAACUUUAUUCUGGUGAUUUUGUAACUUUAUUCAGAAAAAGGGGGAAAUGUAAACACUUUAAGUAAUCACUCUUUGUCCGUGCUAAAAGACUGCAUGCACAAGCUUAGUGUUUCCCCCCAGGAUUGGAUCCGUAGUCCUUCAAGUUUUGCUAUUACAGGGAAUGUGCAGGUGAAUAGGGAAAAGCAAAUGUGAAAGGAAAGAAAUCAGACGGAGAGGAGGAAAUUUCCCUUCCUUUACAGAAGGAGGGGAAAGAUGCAAGACGGUGUAAUGAGCGCAGGAGAAGUAACAGGGUGGAAAGGGAGGAAUAAUGUUUAGUGCUCAGACUUGUUAUGCUUUGUGCUUGCAUGGAAGGCAGACUGAGACUUCAGCUUUCUGACUAACUGCUGUGCUGAGCCGUACUUUACUCCAUGUGCAUUUUUGCCUUAGCGUGGCUGCUUCUAAAGAAGGCUUGAAAUUAUCUUUCUGAGGCAACCUAAACCACAAAGUGUAUUAUCCUGCUAGAAAAUAAUGUCUACCCCAAUGUUCUGUCUUCCUAAUCUAGCAGUCUAAAAACACUGCUGGAAACACAAAUAAUAAAAAAAGCCAGCUGUAUGUGUAUUUGCUGUUGUCAAUUCCACUCACUGGCAUUCGGGGCAGGGGACAGGCAUGCAGAAAGGCUGUAACACUGAACAGUGGCAAAAAUUCUGUGCAAAACCUUGUUGUAAUAACGAUGGAAGUGAAAACUGGCCUCAUUUAUCAAGUCGUUUUUUUGGUCAAGUUCUUGUCCACACCACGUUUGAGGCUCUUCAUUCUAGAUGGAACACUUAUAGCCAGUACUUUAUGUACCGUACUCAAAGAGCAAUAUGAAAUAUAAGUGAUUGUCUAAAUCAAGAAGAGGUUUAUCUAUUAUCUCUACAUCAGUUUGUCAGAACUUAAAUGGAAAGGGAGACCGAACGGAAAACUAUAAAUAUAUUAAAAUAUAUUAUAAAAAUAGAAAUACAUAAACCUUAACUGCUAGUUUAUCAUCAUUCAACUGGACUAGGCAAAGUCACCUCAUAAGCAAGUGUAGGUAUAGAUCAACAGACUACUCACAUGAGCCUUCAUUACAGGGUAGCCAUCAGCAUAUGGAUUUCAUCCGUAAUCUGUAAUAAAAUAACAUAAAUUAGGAAGAUGGCAAAAAAAGGUUUAAUUCAUCAGUUUGUUCAUUUAUAUGUUUACAUAUUUCUAAAGAGUACAUAUGGCCUUAUAGCAGAGUCAAUAGGGAAAGCAUAGGGUUUUUUUAACUGCACAAUUAAUAUUUAUAUAGCAAGUAGUCCUAGUCUCCGUGAGUUAUAAUGCUAAAAGCUUGUUUAUUUUUAAACAAACCUCCUGUUUUCUUAUAUUCACUUGAUGCUAUGCAUAAAACACCUUAGCUGUUCACCUGAGCACCACGUCAGUGUCACUGAGCCCUAAACUGAUGCACAGCAGAGUGCAUCCCUGCGAAACUGGGGACAGAAAUGGGUGGUGCAGGGACAGCAUUUGUGGUGCCAAUUCACAAUUCAUUUUUGGGUGGUAACAUCUACUUCUUGGAAGGCAGAAGAGCUCAGUAUUAAUUUCUACUAAUAGAAAGGUACAGGUCUUCAAAAGAAUUACACUCCCGUGUUGCAGGAUUCGUUUUCAUGCAUAGUGUCUGUGCCAUUGCACAGGAGAAUCUGGACAGCAGUCUGUAAGAGUAACGGUAAGAAGACUGAAAAACUGAUGUAGCUGUGUUCAUUCAAAAAGGAAAUUGAAAUUAAAAGCAGACAGAACUUUGAGAAGUUCUAGGUAACAGACUUCAUGCCGUAUGUUACAUUUAGCCGCUACCGUUAUGUUGUUUUGCAUUAACACUGUACUAUUUUCCAUCAAAAGUCUGCAAUUCUUUAGGUGAUGUAAACUCUUCAGUGCAGAGUCGUAUUUCAAGCAGGGUAAUAUUUAGCUUUUAAAGACAUCUUUUUAAUUGCAUUGACAGAUCCAUGUUGUCCUUACAUAACAGGCAGGAUUGGGGUGACUGUAUCCUGGAAUAGUCAUUACAAACAUGGUAUGUGCAAGGCCAUUGCAUGCGCAGGUCUCCAAGGUGGUAUGAAUUGCACAGUCCCGGGAUUACGUCUCAGACUCUCUAUACAGAAAAGUGCACACUGUGAACACUGUCCCAUUGGGAUGUAUUGCAGAUUCCCCAGAGCGGUGCUCAGGAGGAAGCUGCUUUUCCCAUCCUCUUUUCUGACUAUUUAUGCUUUGGUACCGCAGUUCUCUAAGAGCAGUGUUGUGCUUUUGCAUCAGGGCUGGCAAUCUGGUGAAGGUGGGAUAAAGAGGUUAUCCCUUCAGACUUGCUCCUGGAGCUUCUGCAAACAGACAGGACUAUGUAUCAACAUUAAAACCACCCCUCCAUCCUUGACUCCUGUCUUUAAUUAUAGCUCAUUUAAAGCAACCAUUAAAAUCCAAGUAUCCUAUUUGUAAAUAAUCACUGAAUUGAAUGGCAAAUGACUGAAAUAUCAGCAGUGCCAUUUUAAGUAUCAGAUGCAUGUGAUAUUUCCUCAAUCACAUUCUUAAUCUUGGGAAUAUAGAAUCCCAGUCACGCCAAGCUUUGACUUUAGAUCACAGGAGUUAAGCUUAAGGCCCCAGCAGUACAUAAAUAUGCCUAAGAGAAGAGCAAACUUAACUUUGACUGGAUCAGAAUAAUUUUUUUGUGUGUGUGCUCAGUAUAUUAAUGUUUGGUAAAUAUAAUUAAACAACAACAACAGCUACAAAAAUCCACGGCACAAACAUACUGCAUGUUCUGUGCAGAUGAAAGCUGUUGGUAAAUUCUGCUUGUUCAGAAUAAAGGAAGUUGAAAAUGUGCUCUCUUUCAUAUUACUUUAAUCUUAGUGUCGUUACCUGUAAGUAUUCAGCACAUCUAUGCUUGUAGAAACCUAGUGAACUUUGAGAAAUUAACAACAUUCCAAAGACAUGGUUCAGAGUCUGAGAUGUAGGCCUUAGGAUGGGAUGAAUCGCCCUCUGGAGGUGCCCGUUUCAGUCUACUGGCUUCACAGGGAUCCUGCCUUGCACUGCCUGGCUUAAACUGAAAGCUAAGUGAGUGGACUGUCACCAGAGGAGAGGAAUAACUAAGCCAUACUGGGUCUUUUCUGUAGACCUUUCUGUUUGUUAAGAAUAGCUACCUUUAUUUGUCACUGUUCUUCUUGCACCAUUUAUAAAAUGAGUAAGUACAGUUGUUACUGCCACUAUUUCCUGUGCAUUUCCUGUUUGUUUUUUCCUUUUCCUGUCUCUUUUCAUCUUAUUAUCUUAUCUUUCUCUGUCUUUUUAUCUUUCCCUGGCUUUUUUUAGCUACCAUCUCUUCCGACGCUUCUCAUUCUCUCCCUCUCUGACCACUCUGCCUCCCGUCCUGACAGCACUGUCCUAACUCCCCAUCUGGAUGACUGCUGACCAUUCCCUCUGAUGCUGACAUCAGUAUUUUCUGUGAGAGAGAGUACUGUAGUGAAGAGACAGAAAAAGAAGAAGAUGGCACUGUUGUGAUUUUGUUGUAUGGCUUUGAAUCACCUACAAGUAUUGCUGCGACCGCAAAUUAAGUGUGCUGGUUUCCCAAUGAACUUGUAAUUUCAAGAUGUUUGUAGAAAUGUAAAAUCAAACGUGAACCGCAUUAAAGUCAUUUAAAUUUAACAAAAUAUAGCACUAGUCUUCUUUUAUUUUUAAUAUGGAGACCUACGUGGCUCACUUGCAGAAAGUGGGUUAUAUUUUAAAAGCUGUGGACUGGCAAGUUCUGACUUACUAAAGCAUAAAAUCAUUGUCCUCCUCCCUGUGGCAGUAGUUUCUUUAUUCAGACCCACUGCUUAAAGAUCUCUCCUGUUGUUUCCUUCUCUAUCUUCUCCUUUUUUACUUCCUUUUACUAGCUUGAGUUUCCUGUUCCUUUUUGCACCGAACUUUCCUAAGUCUCUUGGUCCAAAACCAGUCCCUUUUUCUCUCACGUAUACGUCCAUCAGCCUAAACUACUGCCUUAAGCAUGAUCACGUAUAUCUCUAAACAACGAGCAGAUGUGCUGUUUCAGGACUUCCAGUAGAUAAGAAACUUAACAACGCAGUGACAGCAUUUCGAGUAUUUUAUGCCACACAUGCCUCACAGGAUCAGAGUACCACACCAUUCGCAUCAAUGGCAUAAUAAUUAUGGACAGGCACGAACAUUCCCAUUAAAAUACAAAUUUAAGGUAUUGGUUCAGUAUAGGAUUGCUAACUUAAAAGGAGCAUCUGAAAGAAAGCAAACAUUCUGCAUUCAUAAUUGGCGUUGCAGGAGUAUUUAGAUUUUAUUUGCAGAUAGAUCAAAGAGGAAAUGCCAGCACAAAGAGUGCUCUGUAUAGACAGUAAUGUAAGCAGUUAGAGUGAAAAAAAGAAAGAAAGACAACUAGAAGAUGUACGUCCAUAAAAGUAGUGGGUCUUUUUUUAUAAAUCAUGCUUUGCUAUAGCAGAAAUCUGCAAUAAAAGUUAAUGCUUUCUGAGGGGUAGAUACCUACACAUGUUGUAAUCUUUACUAAAUGUUCUCUGCACAACCUGAACUCCCUGGAUUUGAGUUAGUACAGUGAAAGGAAAGCUAAGGACAUGAUAAAAUAGUGACAUUCUGGAAUUUUUCUGAUAUGUACAAUAUGGUUCUCUGGUUUCUGGUACUUACGAUAGCUUACAGUAACGGUAGUAACUCAUGACAAAAUGCAUGG
This 24535-nucleotide long non-coding RNA is filed under the name Gallus gallus (chicken). Its description in RNAcentral is "lncRNA (ENSGALG00010004493.1)". Lineage: Eukaryota; Metazoa; Chordata; Aves; Galliformes; Phasianidae. The record is from RNAcentral.